RNAcentral lists this ribosomal RNA (1338 nucleotides) under uncultured bacterium. RNAcentral's name for it is "bacterial SSU rRNA". It matches the Rfam family "Bacterial small subunit ribosomal RNA", at positions 35 to 1361 of the family's 1533-position model. The record is from RNAcentral.
GCUGGCGGCGUGCCUAACACAUGCAAGUCGAGCGGGGUUGAAGCGAGGGGUAACUCGGACUUCUACCUAGCGGCGGACGGGUGAGUAACGCGUGGGCAACCUGCCUCAAGGUUUGGGAUAACAGCUCGAAAGGGCUGCUAAUACCGGAUAUGCCUGUGGCCUCGCAUGGGGCUAUGAGCAAAGGGGAAACCCGCCUUGAGAUGGGCCCGCGUCCCAUCAGCUAGUUGGUGAGGUGAAGGCUCACCAAGGCGACGACGGGUAGCAGGCCUGAGAGGGUGGUCUGCCACACUGGGACUGAGACACUGCCCAGACUCUUACGGGAGGCUGCAGUGGGGAAUCUUGGGCAAUGGGCGAAAGCCUGACCCAGCGACGCCGCGUGGACGAAGAAGGCCUUCGGGUUGUAAAGUCCUGUCAAAGGGGAAGAAAGAUACCUUCGGGUAUCUGACCGCCCUGAGAGGAAGCUCUGGCUAAACACGUGCCAGCAGCCGCGGUAAUACGUGUAGAGCUAGCGUUGCUCGGAUUUACUGGGCUUAAAGGGUGUGUAGGCGGCUUUGUAAGUAAGGUGUGAAAUCCAACGGCUUACCCGUUGAACUGCACCUUAUACUGCAUUGCUUGAGGGUCGGAGAGGAUAGCGGAAUUCUGGGUGUAGCGGUGAAAUGCGUAGAUAUCCAGGAGAACGCCGGUGGCGAAGGCGGCUAUCUGGCCGAUUUCUGACGCUGAAACACGAAAGCCAGGGGAGCAAACGGGAUUAGAUACCCCGGUAGUCCUGGCCCUAAACGAUGUGCACUUGGUGGUGGGAUCUUCGGGUUUCGCCGCCGUAGCAAAAGCGUUAAGUGCACCGCCUGGGGAGUACGGUCGCAAGACUAAAACUCAAAGGAAUUGACGGGGGCUUACACAAGCGGUGGAGCAUGUUGUUUAAUUCGAUGCUACGCGAAGAACCUUACCCGGGUUUGACAUGUGUGUGGUAGGAGCCUGAAAGGGUAACGACCCUACUUUGUAGGGAGCACACACAGGUGCUGCAUGGCUGUCGUCAGCUCGUGUCGUGAGAUGUCGGGUUAAGUCCCUUAACGAGCGCAACCCUUGCUUGUAGUUACCAGCGGGUAAUGCCGGGAACUCUACGAGGACUGCCGGCGUCAAGUCGGAGGAAGGUGGGGACGACGUCAAGUCAUCAUGGCCCUUACGUCCGGGGCGACAAACGUGCUACAAUGGUAGGUACAGAGGGAAGCAAGCCCGCGAGGUCAAGCAAAUCCCCAAAAGCCUACCCCAGUUCGGAUUGGAGGCUGAAACCCGCCUCCAUGAAGUUGGAAUCGCUAGUAAUCGCGGAUCAGCCAUGCCGCG